AUGAAUGUUUGGAAAGAGCUUGCUCUGGAGAAACUAAUUCAAAAGGCGUGUCUCAUUGAUAGGGCGGGCGAAAUCCUUACAGCUAAUUACACUGCUGCGGCUGCCCCUAAAGCUAAGAGGAAAAUAGGAGGAUGGGAACUCCCGCCUAGAGGAUAUGUGAAAUUGAAUGUGGAUGGCUCCUUCAACGAUGAUCUGCUUGUAGGGACGGCAGGUGCAAUCAUCAGAGAUGACAGAGCUAAUUUUAUCAGCGCAGGGAGGAAGAUCGGCAGGACCAGCAGCAGCAAUCUUGGACGACUGUUAUCACAUGGCAUGUGA
Molecule: ribosomal RNA, 315 nt
Filed under: Triticum aestivum (bread wheat)
Lineage: Eukaryota; Viridiplantae; Streptophyta; Magnoliopsida; Poales; Poaceae
Description: partial small subunit ribosomal RNA
Source: RNAcentral